Molecule: transfer RNA, 93 nt
Filed under: Burkholderia lata
Lineage: Bacteria; Pseudomonadati; Pseudomonadota; Betaproteobacteria; Burkholderiales; Burkholderiaceae
Description: tRNA-Ala
Source: RNAcentral
UCGCCACGUGGAGCGGCUUCGGCCUCGUCGCGCAUGGCCUGCACGGGCUGCUGCUGGCCGGUGUCGCGCGGGUGCCGGCGCUUGCGUGGCGUG